ACUUUGUGCCAGGAUGGUAUUGUUAUAUCUAUUGUGUGCCAGUCUGGUAUUGUUAUAAAUAUUGUGUGGCAGGCUGGUAUUGUUACAAAUACUGUGUGCCAGGCUGGUUUUGUUAUAUCUAUUGUGUGCCAGUCUGGUAUUGUUAUAAAUGCUGUGUGCCAGGAUGGCAUUGUUAUAAAUAUUGUGUGGCAGGCUGGUAUUGUUAUAAAUACUGUGUGCCAGGCUGGUUUUGUUAUAUCUAUUGUGUGCCAGGCUGGUAUUGUUAUACCGUUUGCCAGGCUGGUAUUGUUAGAAAUUCUGUGUGCCAGGCUGGUAUUGUUAUAAAUACUGGGGGCAGGCUGGUAUUGUUUUAUCUAUUGUGUGCCAGGAUGGUAUUGUUAUAUUUAUUGUGUGCCAGGCUGAUGUUGUUAUAAAUACUGUGUGCCAGGCUGGUAUUGUUAUAAAUAUUGUGUGGCAGGCUGGUAUUGUUAUAAAUACUGUGUGCCAGUCUGGUAUUGUUAUAAAUAUUGUGUGGCAGGAUGGUAUUGUUAUAAAUACUGUGUGCCAGGAUGGUGUUGUUAUAUCUAUUGUGUGCCAGUCUGGUAUUGUUAUAAAUACUGUGUGCCAGGCUGGUAUUGUUAUAUCUAUUGUGUGCCAGGCUGGUAUUGUUAUAAAUGCUGUGUGCCAGG
This is a non-coding RNA of Pelobates cultripes (western spadefoot toad), 668 nucleotides long. Lineage: Eukaryota; Metazoa; Chordata; Amphibia; Anura; Pelobatidae. The record is from the annotation of a GenBank genome assembly.